UCCAUCAGAACCAAGGACUAAACUUGUCCCUUUUACAGGAGGCAUUAUACAUCAAAAUUUAUUAAGACCAUUUGCUGCCAAGGUCCACAGUACUCACUGGAUAAUGACAAAGCACAUGCUUGUGAGGCUGAGCAGAAUACUGUUAAAGCUAAACCAACACGACUGCGCUCACUGGACACUUUCCGAGGGUUUGCCCUGACAGUGAUGGUGUUUGUGAACUAUGGUGGAGGAGGUUACUGGUUUUUUCAACAUGCACCAUGGAAUGGUUUGUGUUUAUCAUUGGGACUUCAGUGGUCCUGGCUUUCAGGUCGAUGCAGAGGAGAGGAUUUAGCCACCUGCAGCUGCUACGUAAAAUCACCUGGAGAACAGCCGUCCUCAUGAUGCUCGGCUUCUGCUUCCUCAACUACUCUCCAAGAGAUGGACCCCGUAGGUGCCCAAUGUGGAGCACAUACUGGUG
This 457-nucleotide long non-coding RNA is filed under the name Mastacembelus armatus (zig-zag eel). Its description in RNAcentral is "lncRNA (ENSMAMG00000026053.1)". Lineage: Eukaryota; Metazoa; Chordata; Actinopteri; Synbranchiformes; Mastacembelidae. The record is from RNAcentral.